AUGGAAGUAGAUCAGGCGUGCCCUGUAUGUUCAAGUAUUCCAGAAGACGGUGGUCACCUAUUCUUCAAAUGCAAGAAAAUUGUCAGGUUAUGGCAAGUAUUGGGGCUGGAAGAAAUAAGGGAAAAACUGAAGAGUAAGCAAUCUGCAGAAGAGGUUGUUAAUGAGAUAAUCUGUCUGGAGGAAGAGACCAAAGUGAAGACAGUAGUGUUGUUAUGGCAAUGGUGGCAAGAAAGAAAUAAUAUCAGGGAAGAAGGUAAAACAAGAGGUAUUGAUGAACUUUAUUAUAUCAUUUUGAAACAAACUAAUGAAUACAUUCAAGUUUUCUUGAAGGAAAAGGCACCUCCAAGUGGGAAAAUAUGUAGCUGGAAAAAACCUCCUCAAGGUAUCCUGAAGAUUAACACUGAUGGAGCAUUUUGUGGAGACACCAAGUCAGGAGGCUGGGGUGCAGUCAUAAGAAAUGAAGAAGGGGAGGUAGUUGCAUGUGGAGCAGGUAAGCUGGAGAGUGUACUGAACCCUUUUCAUGCAGAAAUUUUGGCUGCCCUCUAUGGAGCGAAACUAGCAGGAGCGAAGGGGAUUAAUAAGGUAAACCGAUUCGCUGCUGCUGAAGCAAGCCAUGGAAGGCGGAGAGGAUGA
This 633-nucleotide ribosomal RNA is filed under the name Triticum aestivum (bread wheat). Its description in RNAcentral is "partial small subunit ribosomal RNA". The record is from RNAcentral. Lineage: Eukaryota; Viridiplantae; Streptophyta; Magnoliopsida; Poales; Poaceae.